This 495-nucleotide ribosomal RNA is filed under the name uncultured bacterium. RNAcentral's name for it is "partial 16S ribosomal RNA". It matches the Rfam family "Bacterial small subunit ribosomal RNA", at positions 28 to 507 of the family's 1533-position model. The record is from RNAcentral.
GACGAACGCUGGCGGCGUGCCUAAUACAUGCAAGUAGAACGCUGAAGGAGGAGCUUGCUUCUCUGGAUGAGUUGCGAACGGGUGAGUAACGCGUAGGUAACCUGCCUGGUAGCGGGGGAUAACUAUUGGAAACGAUAGCUAAUACCGCAUAAUAGUAGAUGUUGCAUGACAUUUGCUUAAAAGGUGCAAUUGCAUCACUACCAGAUGGACCUGCGUUGUAUUAGCUAGUUGGUGGGGUAACGGCUCACCAAGGCGACGAUACAUAGCCGACCUGAGAGGGGGAUCGGCCACACUGGGACUGAGACACGGCCCAGACUCCUACGGGAGGCAGCAGUAGGGAAUCUUCGGCAAUGGACGGAAGGCUGACCGAGCAACGCCGCGUGAGUGAAGAAGGUUUUCGGAUCGUAAAGCUCUGUUGUAAGAGAAGAACGAGUGUGAGAGUGGAAAGUUCACAAUGUGACGGUAUCUUACCAGAAAGGGACGGCUAACUACGUG